Molecule: ribosomal RNA, 442 nt
Filed under: uncultured bacterium
Lineage: Bacteria
Description: bacterial SSU rRNA
Rfam family: Bacterial small subunit ribosomal RNA
Source: RNAcentral
ACUCCUACGGGAGGCAGCAGUAGGGAAUCUUCCACAAUGGGCGCAAGCCUGAUGGAGCAACACCGCGUGAGUGAAGAAGGGUUUCGGCUCGUAAAGCUCUGUUGUUAAAGAAGAACACGUAUGAGAGUAACUGUUCAUACGUUGACGGUAUUAACCAGAAAGUCACGGCUAACUACGUGCCAGCAGCCGCGGUAAUACGUAGGGUGGCAAGCGUUAUCCGGAUUUAUUGGGCGUAAAGAGAGUGCAGGCGGUUUUCUAAGUCUGAUGUGAAAGCCUUCGGCUUAACCGGAGAAGUGCAUCGGAAACUGGAUAACUUGAGUGCAGAAGAGGUAGUGGAACUCCAUGUGUAGCGGUGGAAUGCGUAGAUAUAUGGAAGAACACCGAGUGGCGAAGGCGGCUACCUGGUCUGCAACGUGACGCUGAGACUCGAAAGCAUGGGUAG